This is a long non-coding RNA of Rosa rugosa (rugosa rose), 1496 nucleotides long. RefSeq lists it as uncharacterized. The transcript is spliced from 9 exons. The record is from RefSeq and is a predicted model, not a curated record. NCBI's taxonomy places the organism in Eukaryota, Viridiplantae, Streptophyta, Magnoliopsida, Rosales, Rosaceae.
AGCAUAUUGAUCGAACUCCUCUUUUCUUCCUCAUAUGCUCUUAACAUUUUCUUCCCCAACCAGACCAAAAAAACAUUUUUUUCUCCAAACCCUAUUUCUGUUCACGCUUGUAGAUCUGCCUAAUUCUGCUGGUUCUAAUGAGAUCUGUGGACCUAUUUCUCUCCCAAUUUCCUUCAAUUGUAUUGGCAACAACACCCACCUCUACGACGACCUCGAAGAUGUCAGCAUCACUCCUCUCCUCAACAGCAAGUGAGAAGCUCCUAUCUGGUUCUUAUGGAUUCGAAUCAUAAUGGGUCUCCCACCUCAAGUCUCGAUUCGAGAUCAUCGGCCUGAUCUCUACUCAUCAUUUGGCAUCAUCCUCCGCCCCAAACAGUUACAUGGUAUUGUGAGCAUGUGGGUUUCUUUAACCCAUCAAAUUGAUCUUCUGGGUUUCUUUAAUUAUCGGAAAAGGUUGAGUCUUUCCUGCCGAAAAGCUAGGGUUUGUAUCUGAUGAGUUCCAAUACGGCGCCGUAUCUGCCGAUUCAGCUGUUCCCAGGAGGUCCAAGUGGCCCAAAUAUUCAAGAUUUACUCAGCAGGAACUUCCAGCAUGCAAGCCAAUUCUCACGCCAAAAUGGGUAAUCACAGCAUUCAUGCUCAUUGCAAUCGUUUUGAUAAACAUUAGAGUUGCUACCCUAUUUGCUUCCCGAUAUGUUGUUGAAAUUGUUGAUCGAUAUGAAACUGAUUGCAUACCAGCGUCCUCUGGAAGUGUUAAGGUCAUAUACAUCCAGACCUCGGGAAAUAAAACAUGCAACAGAACUCUGAUGGAAUCCAUGGUCAACAUUGAUCUACAAAUGACAUGAAUAACAGGGUUUGCAGUUGGUGAUGGCUCUUAUUGGUGUGAGUCGGCUGAUUUUCAGAUACAUAUCUUUCUUCCUUCUCAUUCUGCACAAGAUGUUUGUUUAUGAGUUCAUGCCUAAUGGUAAUGGUACCUAACGGAGAUGGGGAGAAUAUGGACUUUACAACAUUUGAAGUUUAUACGAUGCCUUUCUGGCUGGAGUUUCAUCUAGCUAAUCCUGUUUGCUUACUUUGAUAUAAGUCACAGAUAAAAUCAAGGGAAGCCUGGACUUCAGUAUGAGUUUACGUAUUGCUGUUGUUCAGCCAAAAGACUUAUUUAUCUCCAUUCCACCGAGAUAUGAAAGCCACCAACAUGGUUUUGGACUUCAGUUUCUGAAUCGUACCGACAAGAGUUAUGGGAAUAUGCCUCUGUAAGGAGAAAGAUAUGGACUUUGUACACUACUUGCAGUUCAGUGAUGGAAUGAGAGAGAGACGAGAGCAAUAUCUGGUUUCGAUCAUAUGAAAGAAGACAGUAGUCACCUUUGGAAUCUUCUAGUCUAGGAAAAUUUGUAUUUAGAUGUUAUAAUAUUCAAAAUAAUUAAGUUUUCCAUGAUAAUUUUUUUUUUAUUAAAAAAAGAAAUAUAGAGUCACCAAUAGAAUUGGUGUGGUGCUAAUUAUAUUGA